RNAcentral lists this ribosomal RNA (1285 nucleotides) under metagenome. Its description in RNAcentral is "bacterial SSU rRNA". It matches the Rfam family "Bacterial small subunit ribosomal RNA", at positions 243 to 1520 of the family's 1533-position model. The record is from RNAcentral.
AGCUUGUUGGUGAGGUAAAAGCUCACCAAGGCGACGAUCUGUAGCGGGUCUGAGAGGAUGAUCCGCCACACUGGAACUGAGACACGGUCCAGACUCCUACGGGAGGCAGCAGUGGGGAAUUUUGGACAAUGGGGGCAACCCUGAUCCAGCCAUGCCGCGUGAGUGAAGAAGGCCUUCGGGUUGUAAAGCUCUUUCAGCCGGGAAGAAAACGCAUGGGUUAAUACCCUGUGUGGAUGACGGUACCGGAAUAAGAAGCACCGGCUAACUACGUGCCAGCAGCCGCGGUAAUACGUAGGGUGCGAGCGUUAAUCGGAAUUACUGGGCGUAAAGCGUGCGCAGGCGGUUUUGUAAGACAGGCGUGAAAUCCCCGGGCUUAACCUGGGAACUGCGUUUGUGACUGCAAGGCUAGAGUACGGCAGAGGGGGGUGGAAUUCCACGUGUAGCAGUGAAAUGCGUAGAGAUGUGGAGGAACACCAAUGGCGAAGGCAGCCCCCUGGGUCGAUACUGACGCUCAUGCACGAAAGCGUGGGUAGCAAACAGGAUUAGAUACCCUGGUAGUCCACGCCCUAAACGAUGUCAACUAGGUGUUGGGAGGGUAAAACCUUUUAGUACCGGAGCUAACGCGUGAAGUUGACCGCCUGGGGAGUACGGCCGCAAGGUUAAAACUCAAAGGAAUUGACGGGGACCCGCACAAGCGGUGGAUGAUGUGGAUUAAUUCGAUGCAACGCGAAAAACCUUACCUACCCUUGACAUGCCAAGAACUUUCCAGAGAUGGAUUGGUGCCCGAAAGGGAACUUGGACACAGGUGCUGCAUGGCUGUCGUCAGCUCGUGUCGUGAGAUGUUGGGUUAAGUCCCGCAACGAGCGCAACCCUUGUCGUUAAUUGCCAUCAUUUAGUUGGGCACUUUAACGAGACUGCCGGUGACAAACCGGAGGAAGGUGGGGAUGACGUCAAGUCCUCAUGGCCCUUAUGGGUAGGGCUUCACACGUCAUACAAUGGUCGGUACAAAGGGUCGCCAAGCCGCGAGGUGGAGCCAAUCCCAGAAAGCCGAUCGUAGUCCGGAUCGCAGUCUGCAACUCGACUGCGUGAAGUCGGAAUCGCUAGUAAUCGUGGAUCAGAAUGUCACGGUGAAUACGUUCCCGGGUCUUGUACACACCGCCCGUCACACCAUGGGAGCGGGUUCCGCCAGAAGUAGGUAGCCUAACCGCAAGGAGGGCGCUUACCACGGCGGGGUUCGUGACUGGGGUGAAGUCGUAACAAGGUAGCCGUAGGGAACCUGCGGCUG